GACGAACGCUGGCGGCGUGCUUAACACAUGCAAGCCGAGCGGUAAGGCCCUUUCGGGGGUACACGAGCGGCGAACGGGUGAGUAACACGUGGGUGACCUGCCCUCAGCUCUGGGAUAAGCCUGGGAAACUGGGUCUAAUACUGGAUAUGACUCCACGGUGCAUGUCGUGGGGUGGAAAGCCUCGUGCGGCUGAGGAUGGGCCCGCGGCCUAUCAGCUUGUUGGUGGGGUGAUGGCCUACCAAGGCGACGACGGGUAGCCGGCCUGAGAGGGCGACCGGCCACACUGGGACUGAGACACGGCCCAGACUCCUACGGGAGGCAGCAGUGGGGAAUCUUGCGCAAUGGGCGAAAGCCUGACGCAGCGACGCCGCGUGAGGGAUGACGGCC
RNAcentral lists this ribosomal RNA (387 nucleotides) under uncultured bacterium. RNAcentral describes it as "bacterial SSU rRNA". It matches the Rfam family "Bacterial small subunit ribosomal RNA", at positions 28 to 416 of the family's 1533-position model. The record is from RNAcentral.